RNAcentral lists this ribosomal RNA (953 nucleotides) under Bacillus licheniformis. RNAcentral's name for it is "bacterial SSU rRNA". It matches the Rfam family "Bacterial small subunit ribosomal RNA", at positions 408 to 1353 of the family's 1533-position model. The record is from RNAcentral. Lineage: Bacteria; Bacillati; Bacillota; Bacilli; Caryophanales; Bacillaceae.
AUGAAGGUUUUCGGAUCGUAAAACUCUGUUGUUAGGGAAGAACAAGUACCGUUCGAAUAGGGCGGUACCUUGACGGUACCUAACCAGAAAGCCACGGCUAACUACGUGCCAGCAGCCGCGGUAAUACGUAGGUGGCAAGCGUUGUCCGGAAUUAUUGGGCGUAAAGCGCGCGCAGGCGGUUUCUUAAGUCUGAUGUGAAAGCCCCCGGCUCAACCGGGGAGGGUCAUUGGAAACUGGGGAACUUGAGUGCAGAAGAGGAGAGUGGAAUUCCACGUGUAGCGGUGAAAUGCGUAGAGAUGUGGAGGAACACCAGUGGCGAAGGCGACUCUCUGGUCUGUAACUGACGCUGAGGCGCGAAAGCGUGGGGAGCGAACAGGAUUAGAUACCCUGGUAGUCCACGCCGUAAACGAUGAGUGCUAAGUGUUAGAGGGUUUCCGCCCUUUAGUGCUGCAGCAAACGCAUUAAGCACUCCGCCUGGGGAGUACGGUCGCAAGACUGAAACUCAAAGGAAUUGACGGGGGCCCGCACAAGCGGUGGAGCAUGUGGUUUAAUUCGAAGCAACGCGAAGAACCUUACCAGGUCUUGACAUCCUCUGACAACCCUAGAGAUAGGGCUUCCCCUUCGGGGGCAGAGUGACAGGUGGUGCAUGGUUGUCGUCAGCUCGUGUCGUGAGAUGUUGGGUUAAGUCCCGCAACGAGCGCAACCCUUGAUCUUAGUUGCCAGCAUUCAGUUGGGCACUCUAAGGUGACUGCCGGUGACAAACCGGAGGAAGGUGGGGAUGACGUCAAAUCAUCAUGCCCCUUAUGACCUGGGCUACACACGUGCUACAAUGGGCAGAACAAAGGGCAGCGAAGCCGCGAGGCUAAGCCAAUCCCACAAAUCUGUUCUCAGUUCGGAUCGCAGUCUGCAACUCGACUGCGUGAAGCUGGAAUCGCUAGUAAUCGCGGAUCAGC